Long non-coding RNA from Pistacia vera, 754 nucleotides. RefSeq lists it as uncharacterized. The transcript has 3 exons. Lineage: Eukaryota; Viridiplantae; Streptophyta; Magnoliopsida; Sapindales; Anacardiaceae. The record is from RefSeq and is a predicted model, not a curated record.
AAGCUUGUUUUCUUCUUCUGAAGAGCAUUUACAGCAGUCGAGCUUAGAAAGAAACUGAAUGGAAAGAAGUUUCCUCCUAAUAUUGUCGAGGCAGUGAUAACUGAUUUUCAGAGCAGAGGGCUGAUCAAUGAUGGCUUGUAUGCCGAAGCAUUUUCACGGUCUAGAUGGUCUACUUCAACCUGGGGACCUAGACGGAUAAAGCAAGCAUUGUUCAACAGGGGAAUAAGUGGAACUGAUGCAGACAAGGCAGUAAAACUGGUUUUCCAGGAUGCUGAAUCUGAUGGAGAGCAAGAAUCAAAGCUUGGCAUGUCAAAGCAUUCAAUGGAUCAACUUUUUGUUCAGGCCAAGAAGCAAUGGCUCCGAAGUCAGGAUGCACCGAAAGAAACACGUAAAACAAGGAUUAUUCUUUGGCUUCAGUACCGUGGUUUCAACUGGGGAAUUACUAGUUUCAUAUUGAAGAAGUUAGAAUCCCAUUAUCCCACUUAGAGCACAAUAAAUGAAUUCUCUUCGACCAUGUUGUCGAUGGAAUGAUGAUCCAUAGCCGAUUAUCUUGAAAUUUAAGUUUUUUGUAUGAAAAGGUUUCAUUACACCCACCAUUGGAACAUGCUGAAAUGGUCAAAAGGUUAGUUGCUGGAGCCCAUAACAGAGAGAAAGUUGUGUUUAUAAAUUAUAGGUGUAUGAAAUGGCAAAAAGGUUUUUUUAUUUUUUAUUUGCUACUUUUUCUUUUAACUAUUUCUAACUUUAAUAUGUUUGU